UGACGAGCUGGCGGACGGGUGAGUAAUGCUUGGGAACUUGCCUUUGCGAGGGGGAUAACAGUUGGAAACGACUGCUAAUACCGCAUAAUGUCUUCGGACCAAACGGGGCUUCGGCUCCGGCGCAAAGAGAGGCCCAAGUGAGAUUAGCUAGUUGGUAAGGUAACGGCUUACCAAGGCGACGAUCUCUAGCUGUUCUGAGAGGAAGAUCAGCCACACUGGGACUGAGACACGGCCCAGACUCCUACGGGAGGCAGCAGUGGGGAAUAUUGCACAAUGGGGGAAACCCUGAUGCAGCCAUGCCGCGUGUGUGAAGAAGGCCUUCGGGUUGUAAAGCACUUUCAGUUGUGAGGAAAAGUUAGUAGUUAAUACCUGCUAGCCGUGACGUUAACAACAGAAGAAGCACCGGCUAACUCCGUGCCAGCAGCCGCGGUAAUACGGAGGGUGCGAGCGUUAAUCGGAAUUACUGGGCGUAAAGCGCACGCAGGCGGUUUGUUAAGCUAGAUGUGAAAGCCCCGGGCUCAACCUGGGAUGGUCAUUUAGAACUGGCAGACUAGAGUCUUGGAGAGGGGAGUGGAAUUCCAGGUGUAGCGGUGAAAUGCGUANAUAUCUGGAGGAACAUCAGUGGCGAAGGCGACUCCCUGGCCAAAGACUGACGCUCAUGUGCGAAAGUGUGGGUAGCG
RNAcentral lists this ribosomal RNA (680 nucleotides) under Alteromonadales bacterium HOT10F8. Its description in RNAcentral is "bacterial SSU rRNA". It matches the Rfam family "Bacterial small subunit ribosomal RNA", at positions 88 to 770 of the family's 1533-position model. Lineage: Bacteria; Pseudomonadati; Pseudomonadota; Gammaproteobacteria; Alteromonadales. The record is from RNAcentral.